GCACAAGCGGUGGAGCAUGUGGUUUAAUUCGAAGCAACGCGAAGAACCUUACCAAAUCUUGACAUCCUUUGACAACUCUAGAGAUAGAGCCUUCCCCUUCGGGGGACAAAGUGACAGGUGGUGCAUGGUUGUCGUCAGCUCGUGUCGUGAGAUGUUGGGUUAAGUCCCGCAGCGAGCGCAACCCUUAAGCUUAGUUGCCAGCAUUAAGUUGGGUACUCUAAGUUGACUGCCGGUGACAAACCGGAGGAAGGUGGGGAUGACGUCAAAUCAUCAUGCCCCUUAUGAUUUGGGCUACACACGUGCUACAAUGGACAAUACAAAGGGCAGCUAAACCGCGAGGUCAUGCAAAUCCCAUAAAGUUGUUCUCAGUUCGGAUUGUAGUCUGCAACUCGACUACAUGAAGCUGGAAUCGCUAGUAAUCGUAGAUCAGCAUGCUACGGUGAAUACGUUCCCGGGUCUUGUACACACCGCCCGUCACACCACGAGAGUUUGUAACACCCGAAGCCGGUGGAGUAACCAUUUAUGGAGCUAGCCGUCGAAGGUGGGACAAAUGAUUGGGGUGAAGUCGUAACAAGGUAGCCGUAUCGGAAGG
RNAcentral lists this ribosomal RNA (592 nucleotides) under uncultured bacterium. RNAcentral describes it as "bacterial SSU rRNA". It matches the Rfam family "Bacterial small subunit ribosomal RNA", at positions 923 to 1512 of the family's 1533-position model. The record is from RNAcentral.